Molecule: unclassified non-coding RNA, 333 nt
Filed under: soil metagenome
Description: partial contains 5.8S ribosomal RNA, internal transcribed spacer 2, and large subunit ribosomal RNA
Rfam family: 5.8S ribosomal RNA (bases 1-120)
Source: RNAcentral
GAUGAAGAACGUAGCGAAAUGCGAUAAGUAGUGUGAAUUGCAGAAUUCAGUGAAUCAUCGAAUCUUUGAACGCACAUUGCGCCCCUUGGUAUUCCAUGGGGCAUGCCUGUUCGAGCGUCAUUUGUACCUUCAAGCUUUGCUUGGUGUUGGGUGUUUGUCUCGCCUUUGCGUGUAGACUCGCCUUAAAAUAAUUGGCAGCCGGCGUAUUGAUUUCGGAGCGCAGUACAUCUCGCGCUUUGCACUCAUAACGACAGCGUCCAAAAGUACAUUUUACACUCUUGACCUCGGAUCAGGUAGGGAUACCCGCUGAACUUAAGCAUAUCAUACGGAGGA